GCCCUGGCAGUCAGAGGCGAUGAAGGACGUGCUAAUCUGCGAUAAGCGUCGGUAAGGUGAUAUGAACCGUUAUAACCGGCGAUUUCCGAAUGGGGAAACCCAGUGUGAUUCGUCACACUAUCAUUAACUGAAUCCAUAGGUUAAUGAGGCGAACCGGGGGAACUGAAACAUCUAAGUACCCCGAGGAAAAGAAAUCAACCGAGAUUCCCCCAGUAGCGGCGAGCGAACGGGGAGGAGCCCAGAGCCUGAAUCAGUGUGUGUGUUAGUGGAAGCGUCUGGAAAGGCGCGCGAUACAGGGUGACAGCCCCGUACACAAAAAUGCACAUGCUGUGAGCUCGAUGAGUAGGGCGGGACACGUGGUAUCCUGUCUGAAUAUGGGGGGACCAUCCUCCAAGGCUAAAUACUCCUGACUGACCGAUAGUGAACCAGUACCGUGAGGGAAAGGCGAAAAGAACCCCGGCGAGGGGAGUGAAAAAGAACCUGAAACCGUGUACGUACAAGCAGUGGGAGCACAGAGCAAUCUGUGUGACUGCGUACCUUUUGUAUAAUGGGUCAGCGACUUAUAUUCUGUAGCAAGGUUAACCGAAUAGGGGAGCCGAAGGGAAACCGAGUCUUAACUGGGCGUUAAGUUGCAGGGUAUAGA
RNAcentral lists this ribosomal RNA (643 nucleotides) under Escherichia coli. RNAcentral's name for it is "partial 23S ribosomal RNA". It matches the Rfam family "Bacterial large subunit ribosomal RNA", at positions 30 to 713 of the family's 2925-position model. The record is from RNAcentral. Lineage: Bacteria; Pseudomonadati; Pseudomonadota; Gammaproteobacteria; Enterobacterales; Enterobacteriaceae.